This 693-nucleotide ribosomal RNA is filed under the name Tephritis sp. n. 3 SVK-2019. Its description in RNAcentral is "partial large subunit ribosomal RNA". It matches the Rfam family "Eukaryotic large subunit ribosomal RNA", at positions 944 to 1588 of the family's 3401-position model. Lineage: Eukaryota; Metazoa; Arthropoda; Insecta; Diptera; Tephritidae. The record is from RNAcentral.
CUAGUAGCUGGUUCCCUCCGAAGUUUCCCUCAGGAUAGCUGGUGCAUUNUAAUAUUAUGUUAAAUAAUCUUAUCUGGUAAAGCGAAUGAUUAGAGGCCUUAGGGUCGAAACGACCUUAACCUAUUCUCAAACUUUAAAUGGGUAAGAACCUCACCUUUCUUGAUAUGAAGGUUGAGGUUAUGAUAUAAUGUGCCCAGUGGGCCACUUUUGGUAAGCAGAACUNGCGCUGUGGGAUGAACCAAACGUAAUGUUACGGUGCCUAAAUUAACAACUCAUGCAGAUACCAUGAAAGGCGUUGGUUGCUUAAAACAGCAGGACGGUGGACAUGGAAGUCGUAAUCCGCUAAGGAGUGUGUAACAACUCACCUGCCGAAGCAACUAGCCCUUAAAAUGGAUGGCGCUUAAGUUGUAUACCUAUACAUUACCGCUAAAGUAGAUGAUUUAUAAUACAAUUUCGAUUGAAUUAUAAAUUUUGAAACUUUAGUGAGUAGGAGGGUACAAUGGUGUGCUUAGAAGUGUUUGGCGUAAGCCUGCAUGGAGCCGCUAUUGGUACAGAUCUUGGUGGUAGUAGCAAAUAAUCGAAUGAGACCUUGGAGGACUGAAGUGGAGAAGGGUUUCGUGUGAACAGUGGUUGAUCACGAGUUAGUCGGUCCUAAGUUCAAGGCGAAAGCCGAAAAUUUUCAAGUUUUAAUGC